GCUCUGGAAGCUAUAGAAGCGUUAGGCUUUUAACCUGAAGACAGUGAUUUAUUCACCCUGAGUA
Molecule: transfer RNA, 64 nt
Filed under: Teredo bartschi
Lineage: Eukaryota; Metazoa; Mollusca; Bivalvia; Myida; Teredinidae
Description: tRNA-Lys
Source: RNAcentral